CUAAAAUGAGAUUGAUGACUACUCUUUAUGCCAUCCUAGAGCCCUCAUCCAGUGGCUGAUGGAAGCAGAGACAGACAUCCACAGAUAUACACUGGGUUGAAAUCUGUACUUUAGUUGAAGAGAGGGAGGAAUGAAGAGCGAAGGGGUCUGUACCAGGUUGGAGAAACCCACAGAAACAGUUGGCCUGAACAAGGGAGAGCACAACGACCCCAGAUGCUGUCUGGGAGGGACCAACAAAGGAACUAUAAAAACUAGAUGGUGGUGUCUUACCGUAGCAGUGUCAAGGAGAGAAGUAUCAUUGGGCCUGUAUGCAAGUAUGCAAACUAUCCGCUGGAACCCGUGAAAUAUUGUAGCACUGGCCGUUACUACAUAAGUCAAAAUAAAUCCUCGGUCCCUUGGGAUGUUUCUGUAAAGCUCACUGUUACAGUACAUAAAAGAGAGAGGAUCUUGAGAAGAUGACCAACAAUACAAUAGAACAGAUUUGCAGAACCAUCUCACUGAGGCUGUCACUCAGGACAUCCAGAAAUAUCCAGCAUCUUCAAAUUUGCCUUCUAUAGAAAUUGCCUUCAAAACCAGGAAGACAAAUAUAGUACAUACUCACUCAUAGGUGGAUAUCAGACAUAAAGCAAAAGAUACUCUACAAUCCACAACCCCAGAGAAGCUAGAACCCUCUCCCAGAAACAGAUGGAAGCAGAUGCAGUAAUCUACAGCUAACUAUUGGGCCAAGCUCCUAGAGUUCAAUCGAAGUGAGGGGGGAGAGAAAAUGUGAACAAAGGAGUCAAGACCAUGAUGGGGGAAACCACAGAAUCAGCUGACCUGAACUAGUGAGAGAUCGCUGAAUCAG
This 844-nucleotide long non-coding RNA is filed under the name Cricetulus griseus (Chinese hamster). Its description in RNAcentral is "lncRNA (ENSCGRG00015008664.2)". The record is from RNAcentral. Lineage: Eukaryota; Metazoa; Chordata; Mammalia; Rodentia; Cricetidae.